GACCCAAUAGCCAUUUUCCUGAUUGACCGAAGAGGGUACUUCGCCCUAUUGGUCUUUGGGAUUAUGGUCGAAGCAGAGUAGAUGAAGACCCAACAGCCAUUUUCCUGAUUGACCGAAGAGGGUACUUCGCCCUAUUGGUCUUUGGGAUUAUGGUCGAUGCAGAGUAGAUGAAGACCCAACAGCCAUUUUCCUGAUUGACCGAAGAAGGUACUCCGCCCUAUUGGUCUUCGGGAUUAUGGUCGAAGCAGAGUAGAUGAAGACCCAACAGCCAUUUUCCUGAUUGACCGAAGAGGGUACUCCGCCCUAUUGGUAUUCGGGAAUAUGGUCAAAGUAGAGUAGAUGAAGACCCAACAGCCAUUUUCCUGAUUGACCGAAAAAGGUAUUCCGCCCUAUUGGUCUUCGGGAUUAUGGUCGAAGCAGAGUAGAUAAAGACCCAACAGCCAUUUUCCUGAUUGAUCGAAGAAGGGUAUUCCGCCCUAUUGGUCUUCGGGAUUAUGGUCGAAGCAGACCCAGAAGCCACACUCCUGAGAAUCCACUGAGGGCACACCGCCCUGGGGAUACUUGUCUUUGGGGAAAUCCAUCUAAAGUUGCAGCUUCAGAUGGAAAGCAGCUGAGGAGUUCGACAAAGCCA
Molecule: long non-coding RNA, 631 nt
Filed under: Panax ginseng (ginseng)
Lineage: Eukaryota; Viridiplantae; Streptophyta; Magnoliopsida; Apiales; Araliaceae
Description: long non-coding RNA (PGIN_LNC016461)
Source: RNAcentral